CUAUGCCCAAAGAACCUGCCGCCCGGAAGCAACAACUUCCAUCAAACGGCAAAGAAAAGUUCCUAGGGAGAGAGCUUAGCGCCCAAGCAGCCUGCGCUAGUGCCGAGACAGAACAGGAGAGCAGCAGACAGUGCAGGCCGGGCCAGCCUGCAGGCGGUGGCUGCGGCGGCGCUGGUAGGGCAGACCCGGGCUCCGGAAGGCUCCAGGUCCGGGGGUGGCCGCCGGCCUUGGGCACAGUGCCGGCUUUCGCACCCCUCCCCACGACCGCGAGCAGUGGGCGGAGAGAUUAGAGCAAAGGAAAAGACGGACAAUGCCUGGCCGGGCCGGCGACCUCCGUGCGGCCCCCGCCGGCCCGUCCCUACUCGGGCGGCCAGCUACCGGGCUAAGUUUCCUAAGCCCUGCCUCCAGCCCCGGCGGCGAAAGCUCGGCCGCCGCCUUCCUCCCAGCCGGGCGGUUCCCGCGAGUCUGCGAGGAGGAGGCAGCGUGCGAGCCGAGCCGGGCGCGCAAGGAGGCGGCGCGCGAGGUAAGCGGACGCGCGGGGAGCCGGCGGCGCGCGCCGAAUGAGGCCGGGCGCGCGCGGGGGGACCCGGCACGAAGAGGAAGGAGCGCGGUGGGGAGUUGGGAGCGCGGGGCUCCCCCGGGACCCCCCGCAGCUCCGACGGGGUUUCAGUUGACUCGGACUGCACCGCAGCGAGAGUCCGUUAGGAGUCUCCGCCUGGGCGCGCAGCUGGCCGACCAUCCCGGCCCGCCUCCCCCUCGCUCCCACCAGGAAGGGCAGCCGGGCGAGAGCCAGUGACCUCUCCUCCCGCCAGAGAAAAGAUUCCCUACAACAGAGAGUCACCUAGACAUGAAAGAAAUUCUGCUUCUACAACAAUUGACAAAAAGUAGACAGAUUCAUGUUUGACCACACUGGAUACUGGAUCAAGAUGCUGGAGAUAGACCUGAGAUUAAAGAACAAAGAAAUCUUAUCCACUAAACAGUAUUGAUUAGAACCAAAAUAUUUUGUCAUUGGAGGCCUUAUGUUACCCUUAAAAAUAAACUUUCGGAUAUUUUGGAUUUUUUUUUUUUGGCUUUUUGUGUGUGUGUGUGUGUGUGUGUGUGUGUGUGUGUGUGUGUUACUGGAAACUGAACCCAGGUGCACUCUACCACUGAGCUACAUCCCUAGAUUUUUCAUUCUUAAAUGGCCUUGCUAACUUGCACAAGCUGGCCUUGAAAUUGUAAUCCACCUGCCUUAACCUUCUGAGUAGCUCAUUACAGACAUUUACCACUGCUUCCAGCUUGCUUUGCAUUUUAAUUAGAAAGCUGGACAAACCAUUUGUCAUUGUUCACCAGGAAUAGUUCUACAUUAAGAGCCUAGGCUAAAUCACUCAUC
This 1372-nucleotide long non-coding RNA is filed under the name Heterocephalus glaber (naked mole-rat). RNAcentral's name for it is "lncRNA (ENSHGLG00100040046.1)". The record is from RNAcentral. Lineage: Eukaryota; Metazoa; Chordata; Mammalia; Rodentia; Bathyergidae.